AACCCUUGUCCUUAGUUACCAGGCACGUUAUGGUGGGCACUCUAAGGAGACUGCCGGUGACAAACCGGAGGAAGUGGGGAUGACGUCAAGUCAUCAUGGCCCUUACGGCCUGGGCUACACACGUGCUACAAUGGUCGGUACAAAGGGUUGCCAAGCCGCGAGGUGGAGCUAAUCCCAUAAAACCGAUCGUAGUCCGGAUCGCAGUCUGCAACUCGACUGCGUGAAGUCGGAAUCGCUAGUAAUCGUGAAUCAGAAUGUCACGGUGAAUACGUUCCCGGGCCUU
This 283-nucleotide ribosomal RNA is filed under the name uncultured Pseudomonas sp. RNAcentral's name for it is "partial 16S ribosomal RNA". It matches the Rfam family "Bacterial small subunit ribosomal RNA", at positions 1100 to 1382 of the family's 1533-position model. The record is from RNAcentral. Lineage: Bacteria; Pseudomonadati; Pseudomonadota; Gammaproteobacteria; Pseudomonadales; Pseudomonadaceae.